RNAcentral lists this ribosomal RNA (496 nucleotides) under uncultured bacterium. RNAcentral's name for it is "bacterial SSU rRNA". It matches the Rfam family "Bacterial small subunit ribosomal RNA", at positions 355 to 866 of the family's 1533-position model. The record is from RNAcentral.
UGGGGAAUCUUGGACAAUGGGGGCAACCCUGAUCCAGCCAUGCCGCGUGAGUGAUGAAGGCCUUAGGGUCGUAAAGCUCUUUCGCCUGUGAAGAUAAUGACGGUAGCAGGUAAAGAAACCCCGGCUAACUCCGUGCCAGCAGCCGCGGUAAUACGGAGGGGGUUAGCGUUGUUCGGAAUUACUGGGCGUAAAGCGCACGUAGGCGGACCAGAAAGUUGGGGGUGAAAUCCCGGGGGCUCAACCCCGGAACUGCCUCCAAAACUAUUGGUCUAGAGUUCGAGAGAGGUGAGUGGAAUUCCAAGUGUAGAGGUGAAAUUCGUAGAUAUUUGGGAGGAACACCAGUGGCGAAGGCGGCUCACUGGCUCGAUACUGACGCUGAGGUGCGAAAGUGUGGGGAGCAAACAGGAUUAGAUACCCUGGUAGUCCACACCGUAAAACGAUGAAUGCCAGUCGUCGGGUAGCAUGCUAUUCGGUGACACACCUAACGGAUUAAGCA